RNAcentral lists this ribosomal RNA (433 nucleotides) under uncultured bacterium. Its description in RNAcentral is "partial 16S ribosomal RNA". It matches the Rfam family "Bacterial small subunit ribosomal RNA", at positions 29 to 507 of the family's 1533-position model. The record is from RNAcentral.
AACGAACGCUGGCGGCAUGCCUAACACAUGCAAGUCGAACGAGACCUUCGGGUCUCGUGGCGCACGGGUGCGUAACGCGUGGGAACCUGCCCUUAGGUUCGGAAUAACUCCCCGAAAGGGGUGCUAAUACCGGAUAAUGUCUUCGGACCAAAGAUUUAUCGCCUUUGGAUGGGCCCGCGUUGGAUUAGCUAGUUGGUAGGGUAAAAGCCUACCAAGGCGACGAUCCAUAGCUGGUCUGAGAGGAUGAUCAGCCACACUGGGACUGAGACACGGCCCAGACUCCUACGGGAGGCAGCAGUGGGGAAUAUUGGACCAUGGGCGAAAGCCUGAUCCAGCAAUGCCGCGUGAGUGAUGAAGGCCUUAGGGUUGUAAAGCUCUUUUAACCGGGAUGAUAAUGACAGUACCGGGAGAAUAAGCUCCGGCUAACUCCGUG